This 228-nucleotide long non-coding RNA is filed under the name Hordeum vulgare. RNAcentral describes it as "long non-coding RNA (HVUL_LNC020070)". Lineage: Eukaryota; Viridiplantae; Streptophyta; Magnoliopsida; Poales; Poaceae. The record is from RNAcentral.
UUUUUUUUACUUUUUUCUGUAUUUCUUUUUUCUUUUUGUUUCUUCACUCGUUUUCUUCUGUUUUUUAUAUUCUUUGUUUUUUCACUGGGUUUCUUCAUCUUUUUGUUGGGUUUUAUUGUUUUUCUUUUAUUUGCUUUUGCACGAUUUUCUGUGUUUCUUUCUCGAUUUCAUUUUUUUUCCUGUUUUCUUUAGUUUGUUUUUAUUUUAUUUGUGUGGUUUCAUUUGUUU